UCAAGUUAUUAAGGGCGCAGGGCGGAUGCCUUGGCACUAAGAGCCGAUGAAGGACGCGAUAAGCUGCGAUAAGCUUCGGGGAGUUGCACGUAAACUUUGAUCCGAAGAUUUCCGAAUGAGGAAACUCACUUAGAGUAAUGUCUAAGUAUCAUUAAGUGAAUACAUAGCUUAGUGAGGGGAACCCGGGGAACUGAAACAUCUAAGUACCCGGAGGAAAAGAAAGAAAUUCGAUUCCGUAAGUAGCGGCGAGCGAACGCGGAACAGCCCAAACCAGUGAAGUUUUCUUCGCUGGGGUUGCGGACAUAUCACAAACAAGAGGUCAUCGUAAACGAAGAGAGUUGGAAAGCUCCGCUAUAAAGUGUAAUAGCCACGUAGUUGAAACGAUAAUUCUUUAGAUUGAUCCAGAGUACCACGGGACACGUGAAACCCUGUGGGAAGCAGGAGGGACCAUCCUCCAAGGCUAAAUACUACUUAGUGACCGAUAGCGCAUAGUACCGUGAGGGAAAGGUGAAAAGAACCCCGGGAGGGGAGUGAAAUAGAACCUGAAACCCUGCGCUUACAAGCUGUGGAAGCACUUUAUAUGUGUGACCGCGUACUUUUUGUAGAACGGGCCAACGAGUUACGAUAGUAAGCUAGGUUAAGUACUUAAGGUAUGGAGCCGUAGUGAAAGCGAGUCUUAAAUG
RNAcentral lists this ribosomal RNA (683 nucleotides) under Paraclostridium bifermentans ATCC 638 = DSM 14991. Its description in RNAcentral is "bacterial LSU rRNA". It matches the Rfam family "Bacterial large subunit ribosomal RNA", at positions 3 to 690 of the family's 2925-position model. The record is from RNAcentral. Lineage: Bacteria; Bacillati; Bacillota; Clostridia; Peptostreptococcales; Peptostreptococcaceae.